AUGUCGGAUCGGCAGCCGUCGGAGGAGCCGGAGGAGCAGGUGGACCUGGAGGGAGACGACGACGUCAUGGACGACGAGGAAGGGUACCGCCGCCGCCGCCACGGUGGCGAGGACUCUGAUGAACCGGAGGAGGAGCCCGAGGAGCCUCAAAUCGAGGUUGAGGGCGAUGGCGAUGGAGAUGGCCGGGAGGAGGACGCCGGUAUGGCCGUUGCGAGUGAUGAACCUGCCGCAGGAAGUGGUGACGAGAUGGAGAAGGGUGAUGGGCCUGAGGACGAAGAAGAGAAGAUGAAGUGGGACGAGCUCCUCGCACUACCCCCGCAGGGCUCGGAGGUAUUUGUCGGGGGCCUCCCCCGAGACACCACCGAGGAGGACCUCCGCGAGCUAUGCGAGCCAUUGGGCGAAAUCUUUGAGGUGAGGUUGAUGAAGGAUAAGGAAACAAAGGAAAACAAAGGAUUUGCAUUUGUCACAUUUACUGCCAAGGACGUGGCGCAGCGUGCUAUUGAAGAACUGCAUGACAAGGACCACAAGGGGAGAACACUGCGAUGCUCAUUGUCCCAGGCCAAGCACAGGUUAUUUGUUGGCAAUGUACCCAAAGGGUUGAGUGAGGACGAGCUGACAAGCAUAAUCAAAGGGAAGGGGCCAGGGGUCGUGAAUAUUGAGAUGUUCAAGGAUUUGCAUGAUCCAAGCCGUAACCGUGGGUUCCUCUUCGUUGAGUACUAUAACCAUGCUUGCGCAGACUAUGCCAGGCAGAAAUUGUCAUCACCAGACUUUAAGGUUGAUGGAAGCCAGUUGACUGUUAGCUGGGCUGAACCUAAGGGUUCAUCAUCGUCAUCAUCAGAUUCUUCUUCAUCUGCUGCUCAGGUGAAGACUAUAUAUGUGAAGAACCUGCCGGAGAAUGUUUCUAAAGAGAAAGUUAAGGAUCUCUUUGAAGUUCAUGGAGAGGUCACAAAAAUUGUUUUACCGCCUGCUAAGGCCGGGCAUAAGAGGGAUUUUGGGUUUGUUCACUUCGCUGAAAGAUCAAGUGCACUGAAGGCAGUUAAAGGAAGUGAAAAAUACGAAAUUGAUGGGCAAGUGCUCGAAGUUUCCAUGGCCAAACCUUUGAGUGAUAAAAAGCCUGACCACUCGUUCAAGCCUGGAGGAGCUCCUAGCUAUCCUCUUCCACCUUAUGGUGGCUACAUGGGAGACCCAUAUGGUGCCUAUGGUGGCGGCCCUGGAUUCAACCAGCCUAUGAUCUAUGGUAGAGGACCAGCACCAGCUGGAAUGAGGAUGGUACCGAUGGUGCUCCCUGAUGGCAACAACCUGGUGGAAUGCCGCCUCCACCACCUCCUCGACGUGGUGACCGGCGGGAUGGCGGUGGCCGAGGCGGCGAGGGAAGCCACCGGCGUUAUCGGCCCUACUAGUUUUUCCCUUGCCUUGCAUUUUUCGUCGUGCUAG
Molecule: ribosomal RNA, 1434 nt
Filed under: Triticum aestivum (bread wheat)
Lineage: Eukaryota; Viridiplantae; Streptophyta; Magnoliopsida; Poales; Poaceae
Description: partial small subunit ribosomal RNA
Source: RNAcentral